Long non-coding RNA from Anneissia japonica, 903 nucleotides. RefSeq lists it as uncharacterized. NCBI's taxonomy places the organism in Eukaryota, Metazoa, Echinodermata, Crinoidea, Comatulida, Comatulidae. The record is from RefSeq and is a predicted model, not a curated record. The transcript has 3 exons.
CACGAAUUAACAUAGUCAGCGCAGGUUAAUCACAUAAGUUGAGGAUGAGUUAAUUAUCAGUCUAUUAUUUGUAUGAAAGCUGUCCAACUAGUCAACAGUGGAGAGGGAGAGGGAGGUGUAGUGUGUGCGGAAAAAGAAUGGGAAGUGUCAAUGGAAGAAGAUGAAUGUUAUUCACAUCAAACAGUUUACUCUUUUCUGAUCCCCUCUAAGCCUGAUCCAUAGUUCCACAGACGAUCUGUUACUUCUUGACACUGCCUGAUUAACUUAUGGACAAAAGGUCGUGCUUUCUAAACAAAUAGAUCAUGAAGCCCCGUCCGCUAGCCAACUGUUGGACGAGUUAAGUCGCUAGACCCGUAGACUCCAGUUUACGGAAUGCAUGUUGGGCGGCGGACACCCGAUCCACAAAAGACGAGUAAUUCACAGCAAUCACCGUCCAACAGCAAAAGCAACAAACAACCACUAGCCUAGGUAAAUAACGGUUUCUUACCUGAUGAUUCGUGUGAAGUUUGAAGGAUAGCCGCGAUUACGGGCUCGGAAAUGUUCUCACGGAUAGAGGAGUGUGAAGUUUAUGGUACCCGCACUAGGCCUGGUCCAAUUUAUUACAGUAAACAAAAACAACUACGCCUAGGUUUUGAAUUUGAUUUGCACACCAGACCAGUCUAAUGAAAAACGUGUAUCAUGUACUAACAGAACAUUUUUAUGAACUGAAAAUUUAAAUAAAAAACAUAUUUUUCUUGCAAAUCUGUUGCGGCAAAGGAUAUCUUUCUAUAUUUUUGCUUACAAAUCUUUAAUUUUUCAGUCAUCAAUUAAUAAUUCUAGUAGUAAAAUGUCUAGAAAUCUUUGAAAACUGUUACUGUAUUUGUAAAUUCAGUACAUUUCAGACUGUAUUUAUACCUAUUAAUU